ACUGCUCAGUAACACGUGGACAAUCUGCCCUGAAGUGGAGAAUAAUCCCGGGAAACUGGGGGUAAUACUCCAUAGUUCGUUAUUACUGGAAUGUUUUUCGAACGAAAGAUCCGUCGCUUCAGGAUGAGUCUGCGGCCGAUUAGGUAGUUGUUGGGGUAAUUGCCCAACAAGCCUGUAAUCGGUACGGGUUGUGGGAGCAAGAGCCCGGAGAUGGAUUCUGAGACACGAAUCCAGGCCCUACGGGGCGCAGCAGGCGCGAAAACUUUACCAUGCGGGCAACCGUGAUAAGGAAACCCCGAGUGCCAGCACAGGCUGGCUGUCCGCCAGUUUAAACAACUGGCGAAGAAAGGGCCGGGCAAGACCGGUGCCAGCCGCCGCGGUAAUACCGGCGGCUCGAGUGGUGGCCGCUAUUACUGGGCUUAAAGGGUCCGUAGCUUGAUAAUAGGGUCCCUUGAGAAAUCCGCCGGCUUAACUGGCGGGCGUUCAGGGGAAACUUGUUUUCUAGGGACCGGGAGAGGUGAGGGGUACUGCCGGGGUAGGAGUGAAAUCCUGUAAUCCCGGUGGGACCACCUAUGGCGAAGGCAUCUCACCAGAACGGGUCCGACAGUGAGGGACGAAAGCUGGGGGAGCAAACCGGAUUAGAUACCCGGGCAGUCCCAGCUGUAAACUAUGUGCGUUAGGUGUGUCAGUGACCACGUGUCACUGAGGUGCCGAAGGGAAACCGUGAAACGCACCGCCUGGGGAGUACGGUCGCAAGGCUGAAACUUAAAGGAAUUGGCGGGGGAGCAC
Molecule: ribosomal RNA, 789 nt
Filed under: uncultured archaeon
Lineage: Archaea
Description: bacterial SSU rRNA
Rfam family: Archaeal small subunit ribosomal RNA
Source: RNAcentral